Molecule: long non-coding RNA, 781 nt
Organism: Scomber japonicus (chub mackerel)
Lineage: Eukaryota; Metazoa; Chordata; Actinopteri; Scombriformes; Scombridae
Exons: 2
Source: RefSeq, a predicted model, not a curated record
CCCCUCUGCUCUAAACACAUUAAAUAUAUGUGUUUAAUGUUUUAUCUCCUCAGACUCGGGCCACCCGACCCAGUUCGUGGGUGUGAACCAAGGCCCUCGGUUAUGGGAGCACAAUAAAACCCCGCAGUACGCUCUGUCUCCAUCCUGGCCCUACCGGAUGCCCCAGAACUUCAUCCAGCAGGGCAACGGAGGCUACCAGCCCAGCAAGCCCUACGUGGCUCAAGGCUCCGUGGUUCACCCCAACCCGAACUUCCCCCUCGUCCCUCACGUCAGACAUCCAGUCAACCUGAACUUCAUCCAACAGAAGAAGUGAAUUUGCAUCUCCUUUUAAAAUCUGGUUUCAUGGUCAGUAAAACAAAAACCAACAUUAUGUACUCUUUACAUCAUUUGAUCACAAGGAUUUUUAAAAUGAAUUUUAUCAUUUUUGUACAGUUUUUAUGUUUUAUUUUUUGUCUCAUUACAUUGAUUUGUGAUACAAAUGUCAAAUAUUUUAAUACCCCCAUUUUUGAGGGGGUCCAAAAAAGUGUUUUUAUUUUAUGUGUAAAGUAAGGAGGAAAAAAAAUUGUAAACCUUUAUUUUUAUUAGCUGUAUUCAUACUUUUUGCUUGCCACAAGAUGAAGGCUUUGAAUAGACGUUUGUUUUAAAAAACAAUCUAACAUGUCACCCUUAGGUAUGUAGUGCCAAAAUGCAGGGAUAGCAAGAAAAAAGGGAAAAAAAUCUUAAAUAUUCAAGAAAAAAAAGAAAAAAAACCCUAAAAAAAAAUAAAGAAAAAAGCAAACUA